RNAcentral lists this ribosomal RNA (378 nucleotides) under Heterixalus andrakata (Andrakata reed frog). RNAcentral describes it as "partial large subunit ribosomal RNA". It matches the Rfam family "Bacterial large subunit ribosomal RNA", at positions 2195 to 2597 of the family's 2925-position model. The record is from RNAcentral. Lineage: Eukaryota; Metazoa; Chordata; Amphibia; Anura; Hyperoliidae.
AGGCACCACGAGGGCUUAACUGUCUCCCUCUUUCCAAUUAAUGAAACUGAUCUUCUCGUGAAUUUACUUCUUAUUACACCACUGUAUAUAGUAAAAUUUACUUGAUAGUUUUCGGCUGGGGUGACCCUGGAGAAAAACAAAUCCUCCAGGAUGAACGGAAUAAUAAUCCUAAUCAAAGAGCUACAGCUCUAUGAAUCAAAAUAUUGACAGAUUUGAUCCAAUUACUUGAUCAACGAACCAAGUUACCCUGGGGAUAACAGCGCAAUCCAUUUCAAGAGCCCCUAUCGACAAAUGGGUUUACGACCUCGAUGUUGGAUCGGGGUGUCCCAGUGGCGCAACCGCUACUAAAGGUUCGUUUGUUCAACGAUUAAUAACCCC